GUUCUACCUUGACGAAUUGUAGUUUAAAGAAGUGUUUUCUGUUAGAGGAGUAGCAAAAGUUCCUUGGAAUGGGACAUCAUAGAGGGUGAGAAUCCCGUAUUUGGUUAUUCUUUCUAGCUUUGUGAUACACUUUCAAAGAGUCGGAUUGUUUGGGAAUGCAGUCCAAAAUGGGUGGUAAAUUUCAUCUAAAGCUAAAUAUUGGCGAGAGACCGAUAGCGAACAAGUACCGUGAGGGAAAGAUGAAAAGAACUUUGAAAAGAGAGUUAAACAGUACGUGAAAUUGUCAAAAGGGAAGCGUUUGACACCAGUGUUGUUUUUCCGAAAAUCAAUUAAGAAGGGCUUGAUUUUGUGUUGUAUUGACCUUAUCAGCUUUCUUCACUCUUUUUCGAGUCUUUCUU
RNAcentral lists this ribosomal RNA (398 nucleotides) under uncultured Neocallimastigomycetes. RNAcentral describes it as "eukaryotic LSU rRNA". It matches the Rfam family "Eukaryotic large subunit ribosomal RNA", at positions 127 to 522 of the family's 3401-position model. The record is from RNAcentral. Lineage: Eukaryota; Fungi; Neocallimastigomycota; Neocallimastigomycetes.